RNAcentral lists this ribosomal RNA (483 nucleotides) under Actinomycetaceae bacterium 'ARUP UnID 88'. RNAcentral's name for it is "bacterial SSU rRNA". It matches the Rfam family "Bacterial small subunit ribosomal RNA", at positions 27 to 506 of the family's 1533-position model. The record is from RNAcentral. Lineage: Bacteria; Bacillati; Actinomycetota; Actinomycetes; Actinomycetales; Actinomycetaceae.
GGACGAACGCUGGCGGCGUGCUUAACACAUGCAAGUCGAACGCUGAAGGCCCAGCUUGCUGGGUUGGAUGAGUGGCGAACGGGUGAGUAACACGUGAGUAACCUGCCCYCUUCUUUGGGAUAACGGUCGGAAACGGCUGCUAAUACCGGGUAUUCACUGUCCUUCGCAUGGGGGGUGGUGGAAAGGUUUUUUCUGGUGGGGGAUGGGCUCGCGGCCUAUCAGCUUGUUGGUGGGGUGAUGGCUUACCAAGGCUUUGACGGGUAACCGGCCUGAGAGGGUGACCGGUCACAUUGGGACUGAGAUACGGCCCAGACUCCUACGGGAGGCAGCAGUGGGGAAUAUUGCACAAUGGGCGAAAGCCUGAUGCAGCGACGCCGCGUGAGGGAUGGAGGCCUUCGGGUUGUAAACCUCUUUCGCUCAUGGUCAAGCCGCAACAAUGGUUGUGGUGAGGGUAGUGGGUAAAGAAGCACCGGCUAACUACGU